RNAcentral lists this long non-coding RNA (918 nucleotides) under Elaeis guineensis (African oil palm). Its description in RNAcentral is "long non-coding RNA (EGUI_LNC013109)". The record is from RNAcentral. Lineage: Eukaryota; Viridiplantae; Streptophyta; Magnoliopsida; Arecales; Arecaceae.
UUGCUGUAUUAUUAGAGAUUUAGCUAGAGAUUCCGAGGAAUAGUUGCAGGCUUGCUGCAAUCUGCAUAGUAUCAUGAGGGGCUACAAACUACCAUGGUUACACAUAUUGUGCUUUUUACUGCAAUGGAACAUACUUGUAUUAUUUUGACAUUACAACAUCUGCUUCCUGGACUCAAUCAUAUUUUCAAGAAUCACUAAGUUUUGUAUUGUGCAUAUUUUUACUUCCCUACAUGUUUUUAUACCGAAGAAUGAGGAGACAGAUGUGGAUAUUUCCCAUAGAGUUGAGAUUGUUUCAGUUCACACUUUAAUUUGUGUAGCAUUGCUUGCCACUUAGGCUUUUUAUAUCAUGGCAAGAGUAUGACUGCUUUUGCUGUAUAAACUGGAGUCUUGACGAUGGGGUGAAGUUAAUUUUGUACAAAAAAGGCUGAUGGGAAACCAAGAAAAAUUUGAUAGCAAUGGGAAGAAAGGAGUUCCAUAAAAAUAAGACAUUGUCUUCAAUAAGUAUAGCAAGCAAUGCUUGAGUGAAAUUGACAUCAAACAAGAACAAGGUUUGUUAAUCAUUUUAUGCACCUAAACUCCCUAUAUGUCAAAAUGGAAGGGAGGGUCUACAAAAAGGAGAAGACAAAUGAACAGAUCAAUUGUAUUUGAAAAAACUGGGGGACUUAAAAUUUCAGCCCCACAAUUGAAUUGGAAUAUUUACAUUGGGUUGACAACCGACUGUAGAAAAAAUAAACUGAAAAUCUGAAACAGGUCCUAUUGAUGCGAAGGUGUUGACACUGGUGUUGCCUCCUAUAGCAAUGAUUGACAAAUUAGGGCCAUAAAGCCAACCAUGAUGCCAUAGUUAUGGUUAUGGAUUUGAAUUUCUACUAUGUCAUGGAGUAUAUGGUUCUAAAAGAGUAUGCUUAGUGAAUAAUGGCA